Molecule: ribosomal RNA, 1144 nt
Filed under: Salmonella enterica subsp. enterica serovar Enteritidis
Lineage: Bacteria; Pseudomonadati; Pseudomonadota; Gammaproteobacteria; Enterobacterales; Enterobacteriaceae
Description: partial 23S ribosomal RNA
Rfam family: Bacterial large subunit ribosomal RNA
Source: RNAcentral
CGACUAAGCGUACACGGUGGAUGCCCUGGCAGUCAGAGGCGAUGAAGGGCGUGCUAAUCUGCGAUAAGCGCCGGUAAGGUGAUAUGAACCGUUAUAACCGGCGAUACCCGAAUGGGGAAACCCAGUGUGACUCGUCACACUAUCAUUAACUGAAUCCAUAGGUUAAUGAGGCGAACCGGGGGAACUGAAACAUCUAAGUACCCCGAGGAAAAGAAAUCAACCGAGAUUCCCCCAGUAGCGGCGAGCGAACGGGGAGGAGCCCAGAGCCUGAAUCAGCAUGUGUGUUAGUGGAAGCGUCUGGAAAGGCGCGCGAUACAGGGUGACAGCCCCGUACACAAAAGCGCAUGUGCUGUGAGCUCGAUGAGUAGGGCGGGACACGUGGUAUCCUGUCUGAAUAUGGGGGGACCAUCCUCCAAGGCUAAAUACUCCUGACUGACCGAUAGUGAACCAGUACCGUGAGGGAAAGGCGAAAAGAACCCCGGCGAGGGGAGUGAAAAAGAACCUGAAACCGUGUACGUACAAGCAGUGGGAGCACAGGUUUACCUGUGUGACUGCGUACCUUUUGUAUAAUGGGUCAGCGACUUAUAUUCUGUAGCAAGGUUAACCGAAUAGGGGAGCCGGAGGGAAACCGAGUCUUAAUUGGGCGUUAAGUUGCAGGGUAUAGACCCGAAACCCGGUGAUCUAGCCAUGGGCAGGUUGAAGGUUGGGUAACACUAACUGGAGGACCGAACCGACUAAUGUUGAAAAAUUAGCGGAUGACCUGUGGCUGGGGGUGAAAGGCCAAUCAAACCGGGAGAUAGCUGGUUCUCCCCGAAAGCUAUUUAGGUAGCGCCUCGUGAAUUCAUCUCCGGGGGUAGAGCACUGUUUCGGCUAGGGGGCCAUCCCGGCUUACCAACCCGAUGCAAACUGCGAAUACCGGAGAAUGUUAUCACGGGAGACACACGGCGGGUGCUAACGUCCGUCGUGAAGAGGGAAACAACCCAGACCGCCAGCUAAGGUCCCAAAGUCAUGGUUAAGUGGGAAACGAUGUGGGAAGGCCCAGACAGCCAGGAUGUUGGCUUAGAAGCAGCCAUCAUUUAAAGAAAGCGUAAUAGCUCACUGGUCGAGUCGGCCUGCGCGGAAGAUGUAACGGGGCUAAACCAUG